GUUAGGAAUAUUGGACAAUGGGCGAAAGCCUGACCCAGCCAUGCCGCGUGAACGAUGAAGGCCUUCGGGUUGUAAAGUUCUUUAGCCGAUGAUUAUAUGACUGUAGUCGGAAAAUAAGCCCCGGCUAACUUCGUGCCAGCAGCCGCGGUAAUACGAAGGGGGCGAGCGUUAUUCGGAAUCACUGGGCGUAAAGCGUGCGUAGGCGGUUUUGUAAGUUAGGAGUGAAAGCCCAGGGCUCAACCUUGGAAUUGCUCUUAAAACUGCAAGGCUCGAAUCUCGGAGAGGAUAGCGGAAUUUCCAGUGUAGCAGUGAAAUGCGUAGAUAUUGGAAGGAACACCAGUGGCGUAAGCGGCUAUCUGGACGAGUAUUGACGCUGAGGCACGAAAGCGUGGGGAUCAAACAGGAUUAGAUACCCGUGUAGUCC
RNAcentral lists this ribosomal RNA (424 nucleotides) under uncultured bacterium. Its description in RNAcentral is "bacterial SSU rRNA". It matches the Rfam family "Bacterial small subunit ribosomal RNA", at positions 354 to 796 of the family's 1533-position model. The record is from RNAcentral.